Molecule: long non-coding RNA, 807 nt
Filed under: Equus caballus (horse)
Lineage: Eukaryota; Metazoa; Chordata; Mammalia; Perissodactyla; Equidae
Description: lncRNA (ENSECAG00000047271.1)
Source: RNAcentral
UUUGCUUUCAAGGGGUUGUUGAGAUCCCUUUUGGAUUCUUUGUUGGAGAUUAGGGUGGGAAAUAAGCAGGACUGCUGAGGAGUCUCGGCUGUCACUUUGGAAUAUGAAAACAGUCUGGCUUCAAGUAAACCCAGUUUGAGAUUCACGCUCCCUCCUCCCUGCGCUCCUCAGCCGUCUCCCAUAAUCACUGGUCCUGGAUGGGAAUUUGUGGGAGCUGGUUGGGCCCAAACUGCGAUUUCUCAUCCAAUGCAAUGGAAAAGCCAAAAUGAGAAGAGUAAAGUUUAAAUCAGACAAAUUGCACAAAGGUCCACGAAAAGCCACAAGGAGACCACGUGCCUUUCCGAAGUUUCCGUUGAUUAGGAAAGACCAAGAGACGGAUUACUGUUCCCUUGCCAAAUGGAGAGGGUGCUCGAGCUCCUGAGGCUUGCUGUGGGAUUGGACAUUAUUCAGCCUGGUGCUAAUAGUCCUUAGUUACUCCUCACGCGCUCACAAAAGCCACACGCGUUUGUGUCGGUAACUAAGGCCUACAGAAACCACUCAGCCCUAAAUGCACACAGGAGAACCGUCGCGUUGGAGUAAAAGCUGAACUUGAUGAUCCUUCCCCUUCUCCUGUUCAAUAGCUUCUCCCCCUGAUCAAUGCACCAUGCACUGCUUUCCAUGACUGCAACCCCAGAGCCUGACACCCAUUCCUAUGACCUAUCUGGUGUGUCCUGAGUGUGAAUUCCAGCUCGACUGUGAAUUAGCUCCAUGACCAUGUGAUAAAUUCUUCAAUAAUUCCAGGCAGCAGUGUGGCAUGGCAGAAGUCCC